GCCGGCCCGACCCUUGUAAAUCGCCCCACCCGCCCCCAUAAUUCAAAGCAUGGUUGUAAUUCCGGCAAUCUGGAGGCGUUCUGGACAGGGGUUCGAUUCCCCUCACCUCCACCCAAGGACAUUCCGCUGAGUGUUUUUGGAUGGGGGUGUACUGGCUUCGACAGGGCGGGCAAAGGUGCGCAGGCAACUCGUCAGGCGAUCGACGUUAAUGAAGCAAAUCCAUAAUUGCCAAUGAUGAGC
This 240-nucleotide transfer-messenger RNA is filed under the name Betaproteobacteria bacterium HGW-Betaproteobacteria-12. RNAcentral's name for it is "partial transfer-messenger RNA". It matches the Rfam family "Betaproteobacteria transfer-messenger RNA", at positions 1 to 239 of the family's 331-position model. Rfam says of the family: Bacterial tmRNA, also known as 10Sa RNA or SsrA, is named for its dual tRNA and mRNA-like properties. Its role is to liberate the mRNA from a stalled ribosome. Lineage: Bacteria; Pseudomonadati; Pseudomonadota; Betaproteobacteria. The record is from RNAcentral.